RNAcentral lists this transfer RNA (80 nucleotides) under Perkinsus marinus ATCC 50983. It matches the Rfam family "tRNA". From Rfam's summary of the family: Transfer RNA (tRNA) molecules are approximately 80 nucleotides in length. The record is from Rfam by way of RNAcentral. Lineage: Eukaryota; Perkinsozoa; Perkinsida; Perkinsidae.
GACAGUUUGGCCGAGUGGUCUAAGGCGCUGGCUGAAGGCGCCAGUCCGAAAGGGCGUGGGUUCGAACCCCACAGCUGUCA